RNAcentral lists this ribosomal RNA (216 nucleotides) under uncultured bacterium. Its description in RNAcentral is "partial 16S ribosomal RNA". It matches the Rfam family "Bacterial small subunit ribosomal RNA", at positions 118 to 351 of the family's 1533-position model. The record is from RNAcentral.
UGGGAACCUUCCCUAUGGUUCGGAAUAGCUCAGGGAAACUUGAGGUAAUACCGGAUAAGCCCUUACGGGGAAAGAUUUAUCGCCAUUGGAUGGGCCCGCGUCGGAUUAGCUAGUUGGUGAGGUAACGGCUCACCAAGGCGACGAUCCGUAGCUGGUCUGAGAGGAUGAUCAGCCACACUGGGACUGAGACACGGCCCAGACUCCUACGGGAGGCAG